Long non-coding RNA from Myzus persicae (green peach aphid), 1062 nucleotides. RefSeq lists it as uncharacterized. Lineage: Eukaryota; Metazoa; Arthropoda; Insecta; Hemiptera; Aphididae. The record is from RefSeq and is a predicted model, not a curated record. The transcript has 3 exons.
UAAGGUAUUCGGUAAAAAUCCAUAGCUUGAAUAAAUAAAAGUUAAAUUUGCUUCAAUUUGAUCUUUAGAAAUUAAUUUUGGAAUUUCGUCUAUUGAAACGACGUCUUCGGGGUUCAAUUUUUGUAUUGCAUUUCGAAUAGAUUUUAUAUGUUUGCAAUAAUACAUUGAAGCGAAAAUCCAUAUACUCAUCUUGUUAAUAUAUGCAUUGGAGGCAAUGGAAUACCUGGAGCCUUUGUUUUAAACAAACCGAUACGACGCUUUUAAAAAUAUUUUUUUGUGUAUAAGACAAGUUUGUCAAUUUUUGGAAAUUGACCACGAAUUUCUUCUACCACCCGGUGCAGCCCAUUGACCACACAAGUGAAGUGAACAAUUAGCUGCCUUGACCAUACAAGGAGCGGCAUCGCUCAAAAACUUACAAUUUAUAAGAGGCUAGGGAAUCCCGCAGCACGAGGUUGUGUACUUGUGUCGGACAGCGGAGAAAGUGAUCCCGCCGCCCGCCCGUCAGGUUACUUUCAUAUUUGAAGUGUUACUUAACCUUGUACGGGUACAGCGCACGCACACAUUAAAUACUCGUAUUAAUAAUAAUAAUGUGCGGCCCAUCGCGAAACUUCAACGCAAGAGUCGCCGAGUAUGCAAUAACAUUAGGUCCAACUGCUCGCCCGUCAAGUUCUCUUUAACUGUUUCGUAAUGUUAUCCGCCAACCGCCAAGUGUCAAUAUCAUUGACAUGCCAGGGUAACCGUCUACUUAUCGCCGACAUUUUAUCUUCAAAAAUUCAAAAUAUUGUAUUGAACGUUGGUAUACAACAUUAUUCAAAUUACAAACAAGUAAAAACCCUAGGUACAGGGAACGACUAUUAUUUGUGGAUGGAUGUUUAUCAUCAAGGCGUUUAUACAAUUAUUAUUAGACUUUCGGUGACAUACAAUAAUGUUUAUUUUUUAUAAGAAGUAUACUAUUGUGUUAUCAGCUAUUUGAUGGAAGCCCAAUCACUAAACAAUGUAUCUUCUCUACACCCUGAGGGUAGCGGUACGUAUUGUAUUUGGGUUUGGAAUCUAAAAUGUGCU